RNAcentral lists this ribosomal RNA (610 nucleotides) under Psalmatophanes barretoi. RNAcentral describes it as "partial 16S ribosomal RNA". It matches the Rfam family "Bacterial large subunit ribosomal RNA", at positions 1853 to 2791 of the family's 2925-position model. The record is from RNAcentral. Lineage: Eukaryota; Metazoa; Arthropoda; Insecta; Orthoptera; Tettigoniidae.
UCGGUCCUGCCCACUGAUAGUUUAUUAAAGGGCCGCGGUAUUUUGACCGUGCAAAGGUAGCAUAAUCAUUAGUCUUUUAAUUGAGGGCUGGAAUGAAUGGUUUGACGAGAUAUAAGCUGUCUCCAUAUAAUAAUAUAUAAUUUAACUUUUGAGUCAAAAGGCUUAAAUGAAUAUAAAAGACGAGAAGACCCUAUAGAGCUUUAUAUAUGAUUAUACUUAUAUUAUUUAGGGGUAUUGUAAAUGAGUAUAAAUUAUAUGUUUUGUUGGGGUGACAUGAAGAUACAAUUAACUCUUUAUUAUUUAAACAUUGAUUUAUGAUAAAUUGAUCCAUUAUUAAUGAUUAUAAGAUAAAGUUACCUUAGGGAUAACAGCGUAAUUUUUUUUGAGAGUUCUUAUCGACAAGAAAGAUUGCGACCUCGAUGUUGGAUUAAGAAAUAUGACUAGGUGCAGAAGUUUAGUUAAUAAGUCUGUUCGACUUUUAAAUUCUUACAUGAUCUGAGUUCAGACCGGCGUAAGCCAGGUCGGUUUCUAUCUUUAUAUACUGUUAAUACUUUAGUACGAAAGGACCAAGUAUUGGAAAAAUUUUUUUGUGAUUAGAAUGGAAUUAAAA